Non-coding RNA from Equus caballus (horse), 1618 nucleotides. NCBI's taxonomy places the organism in Eukaryota, Metazoa, Chordata, Mammalia, Perissodactyla, Equidae. The record is from RefSeq and is a predicted model, not a curated record.
CACGCCCAGAAGGAGCGAAACCGAGAAGUGGACCUUCCAGGAGUUUGGGAAAGGGGGAAACAGGAGCCUGAGUGAUGGGACACUAAUAGCAGGGGCGUGCCCUACGAGGGACCGGGUUUUAGGACCUUUAUGUAGCAGGAACCCUCACUUGAGGGUGGAAGACCAUAAGAAGGGCCGGAGUCCCAGGGAGGAGGUUUGGAGAAUACUACCAGUCUGUCAGGAGGCUUGGCCAGUCACAAAAAGCCACCCAGACGCGGCUGUACUGCCACAUGUUCACUGUCUGCCAAAGGAAAGAAGGGUCAGAGGCAGGGCGCUCGGUGGUUUGCUCAGCAGCACGGCAGCGACAUCAAGGACUGUGUGUCUGCACUUUGCCACUCGCAGUAUCCACGGUCCCCAGAGAGCUGGACGGCUCUAGGUCACUCCAGACAGAACUGCGCCUAGUCUGUGCUUCAUGUCAGCAAAGAGAACCUUCCCCCGGUGGGCCUCACCUGCCCAGCCUCUCCAGGAUGAGCUCAACCGUGCAACUUCCAGGGCUGGGCCUCUGCCACCAAGGGAAGGCUGGGCAGGGAACUGCCUGUUACACCCUCAUUUCAGGGGGCGAGAGAAGAUGCAUAUGGAGGGGACAGGCCAGAGAACAAGAGUGAGGAUGGAGUGUCCAGAAAGGAAGUGAAGAGUGUGGUUUCUCUGUGUAAUGAGACAUCUCAGCAAUAACAAGGAACAAGCCAGUGACACCUGCUGCACACUGAAGGAUUCUCCAAAGCACGAUAGAGGGAAAGAAGCCAGAUGUGAGACCACAUGUAUUAUUAUCCCGUUUGUAUGAAGUGUCCAGAAAAGGCAGGUUCAUAGAGAGGGAAGCCUAAGGCUAGGAGUGGGGAUUGGCAGCAAAUGGGCAAAGGGGUCUUUUGAGGGUGAUGGAAAUGUUCUUAAAAGUGGAUCCAUGGUUGUCCAACUCUGAAAGUUUACCAAAAGUCAUUGAAUUGUAUGCUUUAAACAGGCGAAUUUUAUGGUAUGUAACAGCAAUAAAGCUGCUAAAAAAGAAAGGAAGAGCACUGGUCCUCAGUGUUGAGUGCUGCAGGGAGAUGGGUAAAGCAGGGGCGACUCGGUGGCGGAGGCGAGCAGCUGGGCCGGGUGGCCUUCCAGAGAGCAGCAUGCAGGGCUCAGAAGAGCAGACGCACAUGUGGCCUGCCCGGAAGAACAUCUCAACCAGGGAAGCGCAUCUUCUCUCUCAGUCAUGUUUUAAAGCUGAGGAAUUUCCCUAUUAGAUUUGGAAAAGUUAGAACUUUUGGAAGUCAAAGUUUCUUUAAAUUAACCUAAUACCAUAAAAGCCUUGGAGAAGUGGAGAGUUCCAAACAAGCCAAAAAUACUGUGUAUUAUAAAAUUAUUAAAAGUUGGUUUUACUCUUGUGGGAUAGAAAUCAGAAAGUGAUUGCUGGGGUAGGGGAGGCUCGCCGACUGGAAAGGGGCCUGUGGGGACCUUGUAGGGUGAUGGAGAGUUCUGCAUCUUGUUUGGGUGAUUACAUAGAUAUGUACAGUUGUGGAAACUCAUCUAGCUGAACUCUUAAAAACUGUGUAUUUUACCUUGUGUGAAUUAUGCCUCUAAAAACAUGGAAUAUACACGA